AACAAUGAGCAAAGCAAUUCCCCGAGACUACGGCACCGACUCCUACCGAGUCAACUCCAACGUCACUAUUGUUGGUGGUUACCGAACCUUCCAGCCUUCUUCCUGCGUCAUCGCCUGAUCUGAGUCUUAAUGGCAAGUUCAAGUAGCUACAAGUACGAGUAGUGGAAAUUCGUUGAUCUUG
Molecule: unclassified non-coding RNA, 181 nt
Filed under: Yarrowia lipolytica
Lineage: Eukaryota; Fungi; Ascomycota; Dipodascomycetes; Dipodascales
Source: RNAcentral